RNAcentral lists this transfer RNA (77 nucleotides) under Desulfobacterales bacterium. RNAcentral describes it as "tRNA-Pro". It matches the Rfam family "tRNA". From Rfam's summary of the family: Transfer RNA (tRNA) molecules are approximately 80 nucleotides in length. Their secondary structure includes four short double-helical elements and three loops (D, anti-codon, and T loops). RNAcentral also lists the same sequence under 3 other names. Lineage: Bacteria; Pseudomonadati; Thermodesulfobacteriota; Desulfobacteria; Desulfobacterales. The record is from RNAcentral.
CGGGCUGUGGCGCAGCUUGGUAGCGCGCUUGACUGGGGGUCAAGAGGUCGGGAGUUCAAGUCUCCCCAGCCCGACCA